This 330-nucleotide unclassified non-coding RNA is filed under the name uncultured Corticiaceae. RNAcentral describes it as "sequence contains ITS2". The stretch from base 1 to 52 matches the Rfam family "5.8S ribosomal RNA", at positions 103 to 154 of the family's 154-position model. Lineage: Eukaryota; Fungi; Basidiomycota; Agaricomycetes; Corticiales; Corticiaceae. The record is from RNAcentral.
AACGCACCUUGCGCUCCUUGGUAUUCCGAGGAGCAUGCCUGUUUGAGUGUCAUGAAUAUCUCAGCCCGAAAGUUGAAUUUUUGAAAUACAACUGAGGGUUGGACUUGGAGGUAUUGCUGGCCUAGAGUCAGCUCCUCUCUAAAUGUAUUAGCAAAAUCUUUCAAGAUGUAGCUCAGUGUGAUAAAUUAUCUUACAUUGUGCAUAUGCGUCUUGCUUGUGCUACCCUGCCUCUAGUGCGGAUGUGUGGCAAAAGAUUGAGCUUCUAACUGUCAUUAGACAAUUUAAUUGACAUCUGACCUCAAAUCAGGUAGGACUACCCGCUGAACUUAA